Molecule: ribosomal RNA, 492 nt
Filed under: uncultured bacterium
Lineage: Bacteria
Description: partial 16S ribosomal RNA
Rfam family: Bacterial small subunit ribosomal RNA
Source: RNAcentral
AGUGAACGCUGGCGGUAGGCCUAACACAUGCAAGUCGAACGGCAGCACAGUAAGAGCUUGCUCUUACGGGUGGCGAGUGGCGGACGGGUGAGGAAUACAUCGGAAUCUACUUUUUCGUGGGGGAUAACGUAGGGAAACUUACGCUAAUACCGCAUACGACCUACGGGUGAAAGCAGGGGAUCUUCGCACCUUGCGCGAUUGAAUGAGCCGAUGUCGGAUUAGCUAGUUGGCGGGGUAAAGGCCCACCAAGGCGACGAUCCGUAGCUGGUCUGAGAGGAUGAUCAGCCACCCUGGAACUGAGACACGGUCCAGACUCCUACGGGAGGCAGCAGUGGGGAAUGUUGGACAAUGGGCGCAAGCCUGAUCCAGCCAUCCCGCGUGGGUGAAGAAGGCCUUCGGGUUGUAAAGCCCUUUUGUUGGGAAAGAAAAGCAGCAGGUUAAUACCCCGCUGUUCUGACGGUACCCAAGGAAUAAGCACCGGCUAACUUCGUG